AUUGAACGCUGGCGGCAUGCUUUACACAUGCAAGUCGAACGGACACAGGCCGAACUGUGCUGUCGAGUGGUGAACGGGUGCGUAAUGCUUCGGCACGUGCACCGUCGCGGGGGAUAACUACUCGCAAGAGUAACUCAUACCGCAUACGAUCUAUGGAUGAAAGCGGCGGAGUGUAAUAGUUCGAGCGGUUGGUGCGGUCGAUGUCAGAUUAGGUAGUUGGUGGGGUAAAGGCUCACCAAGCCAACGAUCUGUAGCUGGUCUGAGAGGACGACCAGCCACACUGGGACUGAGACACGGCCCAGACUCCUACGGGAGGCAGCAGUGGGGAAUUUUGGACAAUGGGCGCAAGCCUGAUCCAGCAAUGCCGCGUGCAGGAAGAAGGCCUUCGGGUUGUAAACUGCUUUUGUACGGAACGAAACGGCUCUGGUUAAUACCCGGGGCUAAUGACGGUACCGUAAGAAUAAGCACCGGCUAACUACGUG
This 482-nucleotide ribosomal RNA is filed under the name uncultured bacterium. Its description in RNAcentral is "partial 16S ribosomal RNA". It matches the Rfam family "Bacterial small subunit ribosomal RNA", at positions 30 to 507 of the family's 1533-position model. The record is from RNAcentral.